CUGACCUUAGCUCAAUUGGUAGAGCGAAAGACUGUAGAGCGAGUGUGCUCUAAUCCGGAUGUUCAGUCAUCUUUAGGUCGGUGGUUCGAUUCCGCCAGGUCAGA
Molecule: transfer RNA, 104 nt
Filed under: Yellowstone lake phycodnavirus 2
Lineage: Varidnaviria; Bamfordvirae; Nucleocytoviricota; Megaviricetes; Algavirales; Phycodnaviridae
Rfam family: tRNA
About the family: Transfer RNA (tRNA) molecules are approximately 80 nucleotides in length. Their secondary structure includes four short double-helical elements and three loops (D, anti-codon, and T loops). Further hydrogen bonds mediate the characteristic L-shaped molecular structure. tRNAs have two regions of fundamental functional importance: the anti-codon, which is responsible for specific mRNA codon recognition, and the 3' end, to which the tRNAs corresponding amino acid is attached (by aminoacyl-tRNA synthetases). tRNAs cope with the degeneracy of the genetic code in two manners: having more than one tRNA (with a specific anti-codon) for a particular amino acid; and 'wobble' base-pairing, i.e. permitting non-standard base-pairing at the 3rd anti-codon position.
Source: Rfam by way of RNAcentral